RNAcentral lists this ribosomal RNA (450 nucleotides) under uncultured Glomus. RNAcentral describes it as "SSU rRNA". It matches the Rfam family "Eukaryotic small subunit ribosomal RNA", at positions 569 to 1024 of the family's 1831-position model. The record is from RNAcentral. Lineage: Eukaryota; Fungi; Glomeromycota; Glomeromycetes; Glomerales; Glomeraceae.
AGCAGCCGCGGUAAUUCCAGCUCCAAUAGCGUAUAUUAAAGUUGUUGCAGUUAAAAAGCUCGUAGUUGAAUUUCGGGGUCAGCAGGUUGGUCGUGCCAAUGGUAUGCACUGGCCUUGCUGAUUCCUCCCUCUUGUAGAACCGUAAUGCCAUUAAGUUGGUGUUGCGGGGAAACAGGACUGUUACUUUGAAAAAUUAGAGUGUUUAAAGCAGGCUAACGCCUGAAUACAUUAGCAUGGAAUAAUGAAAUAGGACGAUCGAUCCUAUUUUGUUGGUUUCUAGGAUUGACGUAAUGAUUAAUAGGGAUAGUUGGGGGCAUUAGUAUUCAAUUGUCAGAGGUGAAAUUCUUGGAUUUAUUGAAGACUGACUACUGCGAAAGCAUUUGCCAAGGAUGUUUUCAUUAAUCAAGAACGAAAGUUAGGGGAUCGAAGACGAUCAGAUACCGUCGUAGU